Molecule: ribosomal RNA, 253 nt
Filed under: uncultured bacterium
Lineage: Bacteria
Description: partial 16S ribosomal RNA
Rfam family: Bacterial small subunit ribosomal RNA
Source: RNAcentral
UACGUAGGGUGCGAGCGUUGUCCGGAAUUAUUGGGCGUAAAGGGCUCGUAGGCGGUUUGUCACGUCGGGAGUGAAAACUCGGGGCUUAACCCCGAGCCUGCUUCCGAUACGGGCAGACUAGAGGUAUGCAGGGGAGAACGGAAUUCCUGGUGUAGCGGUGAAAUGCGUUGAUAUCAGGAGGAACACCCAUGGCGAAGGCAGCAAACUGGUCAUCAACUGACGCUGAGGCGCGAAAGCGUGGGUAGCAAACAGG